Molecule: ribosomal RNA, 452 nt
Filed under: uncultured Coriobacteriaceae bacterium
Lineage: Bacteria; Bacillati; Actinomycetota; Coriobacteriia; Coriobacteriales; Coriobacteriaceae
Description: bacterial SSU rRNA
Rfam family: Bacterial small subunit ribosomal RNA
Source: RNAcentral
AAGCAGCGGAGCAUGUGGCUUAAUUCGACGCAACGCGAAGAACCUUACCAGGGCUUGACAUGCAGGGAAAGCGGCGGAAACGUCGUGUCCGCAAGGGCCCUGCACAGGUGGUGCAUUGGCUGUCGUCAGCUCGUGUCGUGAGAUGUUGGGUUAAGUCCCGCAACGAGCGCAACCCCUGUCGUAUGUUGCCAGCAUUAAGUUGGGGACUCAUACGAGACUGCCGGCGUCAAGCCGGAGGAAGGUGGGGACGACGUCAAGUCAUCAUGCCCCUUAUGUCCUGGGCUGCACACGUGCUACAAUGGGCGGUACAAAGGGUCGCGAACCCGCGAGGGGGAGCCAAUCCCAAAAAGCCGCUCUCAGUUCGGAUUGCAGGCUGCAACUCGCCUGCAUGAAGCCGGAAUCGCUAGUAAUCGCGGAUCAGCAUGCCGCGGUGAAUACGGUUCCCGGGCCUU